AUGGCCAACAAUUUUGAAGUCCGAGCCUGGGUCCAUGUGUCUAAGGAGUUCGAUCUGGGCAAAAUUGGGAGUGCCAUCCUCAAAAGCAUAAAUACCAGUAUCAACCUUGACAACUGUAGUUUGCAGUUUUUACAAGAAAAUCUCAAAAAGGAACUUGCUGGUAGAAGGUACUUGAUUGUUUUGGAUGAUCUUUGGGAAGAGGAUGCGGAUAAGCUGGAAAGGCUGAAGCAGAUGUUACAACAUGGCUGCAAGGGUAGCAGAGUUAUUGUAACUACGCGGAACCAAAGGGUAGUGAAUAAAAUGAGAACCGGUGUUCUUGCGAACCAAAGGAAAAUUUGUCCCGUGCCCAACUCUGAUCAAAUCAACUUGUGUGUAUUAUCAACUGAUGACUGUUGGGAAGUAAUGAAGCAAACAGCAUUUGGGCCUGAUGAUGACAAAAGUGACUUGGAAGAAAUUGGAAGGAAAAUUGCAGAGAAGUGUGGGGGUGUACCACUCGUGGCAAUUGCCCUUGGGCAAGUAAUGUCCGAGUUAAGGACUGUCGAGGCAUGGAAAAAAAUAAGAGAUACGAACAUCGAUUUAGGUCACAGAGAUCACAAGGACACAUUGGAGCGCCUCAUGCUAAGCUAUUACUACAUGAAGUUGGAAUUCAAAAUGUGCUUCACAUAUUUGGCGGCCUUUCCCAAGGGCUUUGUUAUAGACAGUGAUCGUCUAAUUCAGCAAUGGAAGGCUCUUGGAUACAUUCAUGGGGAUGACAGUAAAAGGUGCAUUAACUACCUUAUUUUUUUUAGAGAAAAGGCGAGAGCCCGACUUUAUAGAUAA
RNAcentral lists this ribosomal RNA (819 nucleotides) under Triticum aestivum (bread wheat). RNAcentral's name for it is "partial small subunit ribosomal RNA". The record is from RNAcentral. Lineage: Eukaryota; Viridiplantae; Streptophyta; Magnoliopsida; Poales; Poaceae.